GCUACGGACAAAGGGCAGGAAACUCGCGAGAGCUAGCAAAUCCCAUAAACCGUGGCUCAGUUCAGAUCGUAGGCUGCAACUCGCCUACGUGAAGGAGGAAUCGCUAGUAAUCGCAGGUCAGCAUACUGCGGUGAAUACGUUCCCGGGCCUUGUACACACCGCCCGUCACACCAUGGAAGUUGGCCACGCCCGAAGCCGUUACUCCAACCCUUGUGGAGGAGGACGUCGAAGGUGGUGCUGAUGACUGGGGUGAAGUCGUAACAAGGUAGCCGUACCGGAAGGUGCGGCUGGAUCACCUCCUAA
RNAcentral lists this ribosomal RNA (303 nucleotides) under Synechococcus sp. UW119. RNAcentral describes it as "partial 16S ribosomal RNA". It matches the Rfam family "Bacterial small subunit ribosomal RNA", at positions 1229 to 1533 of the family's 1533-position model. Lineage: Bacteria; Bacillati; Cyanobacteriota; Cyanophyceae; Synechococcales; Synechococcaceae. The record is from RNAcentral.